Molecule: ribosomal RNA, 253 nt
Filed under: uncultured bacterium
Lineage: Bacteria
Description: partial 16S ribosomal RNA
Rfam family: Bacterial small subunit ribosomal RNA
Source: RNAcentral
UACGAAGGAUCCUAGCGUUGUCCGGAUUUACUGGGUUUAAAGGGAGCGUAGGCGGACUUUUAAGUCAGUGCUGAAAUAUCCCGGCUUAACCGGGAGGGUGGCAUUGAUACUGCAGGGCUUGAGUGAAGUCGAGGUAGGCGGAAUUGACGGUGUAGCGGUGAAAUGCUUAGAUAUCGUCAAGAACACCGAUAGUGAAGACAGCUUACUAGGCUUAUACUGACGCUGAGGCACGAAAGUGUGGGGAUCAAACAGG